CCUACGGGAGGCAGCAGUGGGGAAUUUUGGACAAUGGGCGCAAGCCUGAUCCAGCCAUGCCGCGUGCGGGAAAAAGGCCUUCGGGUUGUAAACCGCUUUUGUCAGGGAAGAAACGCACCGGGCUAAUAUCCCGGUGUAAUGACGGUACCUGAAGAAUAAGCACCGGCUAACUACGUGCCAGCAGCCGCGGUAAU
RNAcentral lists this ribosomal RNA (194 nucleotides) under uncultured Bradyrhizobium sp. RNAcentral describes it as "partial 16S ribosomal RNA". It matches the Rfam family "Bacterial small subunit ribosomal RNA", at positions 338 to 524 of the family's 1533-position model. Lineage: Bacteria; Pseudomonadati; Pseudomonadota; Alphaproteobacteria; Hyphomicrobiales; Nitrobacteraceae. RNAcentral also lists the same sequence under 2 other names. The record is from RNAcentral.